AAAAAAAGUAGUUUCAUAUUUGUGAAAUAAUUUCUUAAAAUGAUUCAGUUUAUAGUGACGAGCUUCACCUAGAAAUGGGUUCACCAAGUUAUGGUUCGCCAUACUUCGCCAUUUCAGCCCAUUUCAAUCAGCUGGUUGUAUUUUGACAAUUCAUCGCAAACAGCCCAGUACAGCUGAUGGCUCAGUUUGCGCUGUCUUUUCUUAAUUAUCUCAGCAAGAUUGAAAAGGCGGGAAAGCGAAGGUUAACCUUGGCUUAUUAAAGAAAGCUUUGGACUUGUCAAUCUACUGUCCGGGAGCGUUUAGCACUAGACGAUUAUGUUGAUGCUUCAGGUCGGGUGCAGAGAACUGCGGUCAAACUAGUUGCCCUUCCAAAAACCGGAAAACGCUUUACGAACAUACUUUAAUACCAUUAACGGGCUUUACUUUUUCCAUCAAUAAAGCUGCUAAACAGCUUAGGAGAGUAAGCAGGAGAAGUGGAUGUUGCAUCCGUGACAUAUCCCGGCUGCUCUUCUUUGGAGCAUAAUAGCCUCAAUGACGAGUGGCAUGAUGACAAUUCGUGUUUCAAUUUUUGGUCGACUUUUUGUCGUCUCUUUUCGUUUGGCGAUUCUUUAUGCGGUGCCAAAUUAUUUUGGGUCAUUUACGUCAAGAACAAAGAUCAAGGCGCAAAUUUUCGUUUAAAUUUGGGAUAACCAAACAAUAAUCUUCCCGCCCAACAAUUCAAUGCUCUCUCGCCAAAGAAAAGAUUUCCUAUUCCUUGAAUAGUCAGCUACACCACACCUUUUGUUGAAUGCAAGGUUUUUUUCACGGUGUACAAAAAUAUUUAUGUGCUUUUAAAGAAAUAACUCUGACGCAAAAUACGAAGUAAAAGUUUUCUAGGGGUGUGCUUUGGAUAAUCACUUUUGUCGGCUGUUUAAUCUAUGUGGUGGCUUUCUGUCAACAAAAGAUGGUUCUGAAACUACUUUGCAAAACGCGAUUUUCAAUUAGUUUUUAAAUCUGUCGACAUGAAAUAAAUGUCGAAAUUAGCGCGAUUUUCCACGAAGAACCUAGAAAAAGGAUUGUACCCACAGGUAUAAAAUCCAAGCGAUUUAGUAAAAAGUUGCCUUGUCCUCACUUCAGCUUUCUAACGCUGCCGAGCAGGUGGCUGUGUAUAUAUAACCUUUAUCUUAAUCUUUCCCUUUUCUCCCGAAGGAACGAUAUCUUCCGUCUAGUUGUUGUUGUUGUUUUUCAUCAAGUGAAUGUUUUUUUGUACUUUUUCCAGCGCCAAAACCAUUCAAGGCGUAAAUAUGUUGGAAGAGAAAUUCUUCAUAGCAAAUCGUACAGGAUGUAAUCAAAGCGUGGUCGACACUUCACGCUUAGAAAUGCUCCCUAGUCACCUUUAUCGAUUCACUCUUUUCCUAGUUACCUUCGAUUUAUCUUGCUGUCAGACUGUUAUAAGGUGCCGUAUCUUAUAGCAGUUGACUUCAAAUGAGUAAAUAAAAAGCACGCGGUUCUCUUUAAGGGUAAGCGUUCAGUUUUAAGGAUAGUUUUAUUCUUUUAUUCGACUGUCGAUGCCGCCAUGACUAUUAAUAUGCCGUGUGUCGGUUGUGUUGACUUAAAUUUGAAAAGGCCCUGAGUUAUAAGCUUUGACAUUUCUCUAGAGUAGCGAUCAACGCACAUUUACCGCACAAUUAAGGAGGGAGCCGAAUGGCCAGGCCAGCUUCGAUUUUUUACCGGCAAAUGAGUGAUGAACCUUGCGAAGGGUGUUCAAUCGGCUUUUUGUCCCGUCGCAAAGAAGCAAAGGGCCAGUUUAAAACGACAACGCAGAAUAAAUGACGCCAAUGAUGUUUACAGAAAGAAAAAAACAAGAAAGCACUCACUAGAGUGAUCAAAUAUGGCCAAAAUAGUCUUCGUUCGUCAAUGUGGACUCCGCUAGUGGCUUCGCGGACUGUUGAUGGAUAAGCUUUCUCCCCUUAAUAUCAACUUGCUCGAAGGAAAAACGAAACUGGGGAUGUGGGACACUUCAGAGCUUCGCAAUCAUAGACUAAUUAUUUUGAAGUGCGGAGUUGCUCUAUUCCUUCAUACAAGUCGUAAAACUGACUCCUCAUGCCGAAUAUUCCCAUGUUAUUUGGUAUCUAGGAUAAGCCGUCUGAACGUUCUUUAUUUCAAGAGGUUGGUUAUUUGAUAGCGAUGGAAAGCGAAAAAGCUGUCCAAAAUGUCCGCAUCUGUCUGUCAGAACAGUGGCUUGAAGAAAGCGGAUGAAAGGCGACCGAAAACAAACUUAACAUACCAAAAACACCAAGCAAACGAGAAGAAUUUGUUGUAACUUUAAAAUCGCGUUUUUUCGACUAUUUUGUUUCUCUAAAUUUUGGCUCUCACAAACUACGUCUUAUUUCGACUAAAAACUCCAAGAUAUGAGACAAUUUUUUUUUAACCUGAGGGCCCGGGCUUUACGAUUGAGAUGAAUGGUGACUGCCGCUAAAGAAGUUUGCUUUUCACCUUUGAAUCAUAGUACCGAUAUGGCGGAGAAACAACUGUGAUAUCAGGCAAAUAAGAAUUCCAGUUGGACCAUAAUGGGUUGUUUGGUCUAGGAAUUGGAAGCGAAUCAGAAGGCCGUUUGUUCUCAUGUUACUUCGGAUUUAAGGUUACAACAAUCCACCUUCACUGCUUUCCAAUGCCUAAAGCAACUGCUUGCUGCCAUCAAGAGCCGAGGAAACAGGCCAGCUCAUCAAAAACGAUGACAUUUGAAUCACACAUUAGGAUCACAACGAAAAAGCUACUUGACAUCCAUAAAACCAACACAGUCAGAAAGCGUCUGAAUUGAAUCGAAUAAUAAAGUUUAAAAUAAAGCCUAGAAUUGCGCUGAA
Pocillopora damicornis (cauliflower coral) is the source of this 2843-nucleotide long non-coding RNA. RefSeq lists it as uncharacterized. The record is from RefSeq and is a predicted model, not a curated record. Lineage: Eukaryota; Metazoa; Cnidaria; Anthozoa; Scleractinia; Pocilloporidae.